UGAUGUGAAGGCAAUCUAGCUAUGGUAUCUGUCACCCCACUGCUCUCCAUGGUUUAUUCAGCUGAUCUGUCUGGCUAGGUGGUGUCCCUUCUUCCCUCACCAUUCCAUGUGAAUCUCUCAAGAAGCUACACACUCUGUUGAAGGCGACAACCAUCCUGGACAGAGGAGGCCUGUUCUUCUGUCAAGUGUCUAUGAGUAGCUGCACUCCCCUGCUAGAACUUCCAAGCAAGCUCUCAAUACUGGCAAUUCCUAAAUUACAUCCUGUUACAUCCUGUUAGUUCCAGA
This 285-nucleotide small RNA is filed under the name Castor canadensis (American beaver). RNAcentral's name for it is "7SK RNA (ENSCCNG00000025880.1)". It matches the Rfam family "7SK RNA", at positions 1 to 254 of the family's 331-position model. From Rfam's summary of the family: 7SK was discovered as an abundant small nuclear RNA in the mid-70s but a possible function has only recently been suggested. Two independent studies have found that 7SK RNA binds the CDK9/cyclin T complex (known as elongation factor P-TEFb). The record is from RNAcentral. Lineage: Eukaryota; Metazoa; Chordata; Mammalia; Rodentia; Castoridae.